GCCUAAUACAUGCAAGUCGAACGCACUCUCGUUUAGAUUGAAGGAGCUUGCUCCUGAUUGAUAAACAUUUGAGUGAGUGGCGGACGGGUGAGUAACACGUGGGUAACCUGCCCUAAAGUGGGGAUAACAUUUGGAAACAGAUGCUAAUACCGCAUAAAACCUAACACCGCAUGGUGUAGGGUUGAAAGAUGGUUUCGGCUAUCACUUUAGGAUGGACCCGCGGUGCAUUAGUUAGUUGGUGAGGUAAAGGCUCACCAAGACCGUGAUGCAUAGCCGACCUGAGAGGGUAAUCGGCCACACUGGGACUGAGACACGGCCCAGACUCCUACGGGAGGCAGCAGUAGGGAAUCUUCCACAAUGGACGAAAGUCUGAUGGAGCAACGCCGCGUGAGUGAAGAAGGUUUUCGGAUCGUAAAACUCUGUUGUUGGAGAAGAAUGUAUCUGAUAGUAACUGAUCAGGUAGUGACGGUAUCCAACCAGAAAGCCACGGCUAACUACGUG
This 501-nucleotide ribosomal RNA is filed under the name uncultured bacterium. RNAcentral's name for it is "bacterial SSU rRNA". It matches the Rfam family "Bacterial small subunit ribosomal RNA", at positions 46 to 507 of the family's 1533-position model. The record is from RNAcentral.